Molecule: small RNA, 2870 nt
Filed under: Histoplasma capsulatum
Lineage: Eukaryota; Fungi; Ascomycota; Eurotiomycetes; Onygenales; Ajellomycetaceae
Description: hypothetical RNA
Source: RNAcentral
CCUGCUAUCUCUACUCCUCCUCCUCCUCCUCCUUCUCUUCUCUUUGUCCUCCACUCCCAUUCAUCGUGGCAGCUUGCUGCACGAUGCUUUUUACCUCCCCUACCUCCUUUGUAAACGCGCAUAUCCUCCACAACUCCUCCCACUCCUCCUCCUCCUCCAUCUCCUCCAUCUCCGCCCUCAACCAGCAUGUAGCCCAGCAACACCUGGCCGCCGCCGCCGCUGGCUGGCUUUCUCACUCUUCCCUCUUGCUCAACACCGCUGCUUCUCCGCAGGCUGCUCAACCUCCGCUGCCGCGGCUUGUCAUCCUGGUCCUGUCCGCAGUCCUCGAGAUCGUCUGCGUCAGUCUCCCCGGCUAUAUCCUAGCCCGUAUGGGCAGGUUUGAUGCGGAGGCCCAGAAAUUCGUCGCCAAUCUCAAUGUCGCACUGUUUACCCCAUGUCUCGUCUUCACAAAACUCGCCUCCCAAUUAACCGCGGGAAAACUGACAGACCUGGCCAUCAUCCCUUGCAUCUUCGCGGUCCAGACUGCGGUCUCCUAUCUGUGUGCCUCCGUGGUCUCUCGGCUGUUCCGCUUCAACAAGCCCCAGUCCAACUUUGUGGUCGCCAUGGGCGUCUUUGGGAACUCCAAUUCGCUACCCAUCUCGCUCGUGUUGUCGCUGGCCCACACUCUAGAAGGCCUGCGCUGGGAUCGCAUACCAAACGACAACAGCCAGGAGGUUGCAGCCAGGGGCAUCCUCUAUCUCCUGAUCUUCCAGCAACUGGGCCAGCUGCUUCGAUGGAGCUGGGGCUAUCGCGUCCUCCUAGCUCCGCCGGAGUCAUACCACAGAGACGAGGAAGAAAUCGCUGCCGCCCGCAUCCGCAGUUCCGAACCAUAUACUGACGAACCGGACAAUGCCACAACACCUGAAUAUAGCCAGACACUCAUAGACACCACCGAUAGCGAUAAUGUCGAACAUGCCGCGCCCAGCGGCUCAUCGAGUUUCGCAGAUAUAAUAUCCCAUUUUGAAUCCGGAGGAGUAACCCCUAUCACAACACGACAGUACCAAUUUGUCCCUAGCCAAUUCUCCACGCACCAAAUGCCAGAACCCCAGCCCCAACUUGAAGAACAACUGCCAACCCCCCCAAGCUGGCGCUACCCGCUCCAUAAACUCGGCUACCAUGUUAAAUUCACCUCCCGCACCCUGGCAACAGCCCUCCACACCCGAUCCAAAGCCCUCUUCCACCGCCUCCCCCUCCCGGUCCAAAAACUCAUCUGCACCAUCUCCCAUAACCUCGCCCGCUUCCUCUGCGGCCUAUGGUCCUUCAUGAACCCACCGCUCUGGGCCAUGCUAGCCGCCAUAAUCGUCGCCUCCAUCCCGUCCCUCCAACUCGUCUUCUUCAACCCAAGCACCUUCAUCAACAACUCCGUCACCCGCGCCAUCCAGCAGAGCGGCAACGUCGCCGUGCCCUUGAUCCUCGUCGUACUCGGCGCUAACCUCGCCCGCAAUACCCUCCCCGACCCCACCACCACCACCAUCACAUGCAGCGCGCCCGACCUCUACCAGCGCGAGGAGCGCAACCUCAUCGUAGCCUCCCUGCUCGCGCGCAUGUUGCUGCCCACCUUGAUCAUGGGCCCCCUGCUCGCGCUGGCCGCCAAAUUCGUCUCCGUCAGCAUCCUGGACGACCCCAUCUUCGUGGUCGUGUGCUUCCUGCUCGCUGGCGCGCCGUCCGCGUUGCAGCUGGCGCAGAUCUGCCAGCUGAACAACGUGUACAUGGGCGCGAUGGCCCGGCUGCUGUUCCAGAGCUAUGUUGUCUGGAUCCUCCCCUCCACCCUCCUCCUCGUCAUCCUUGCGCUCAAGGUCGUCCAGUGGGCGACGGCCGCGUGAAGUGCACGAUCAAGGACGCGAAAAUGAAAUGAUAGAAAAUGGAAAAAACACAUCACGUUUCUUCUUCUUCUUCUUCUUUUCAAAGCAUGUAGCAUAGCAUGUCGUGUACAGUAGUACUAUUUGACAAAGAUUUUUUUUUUUAAUUUUUGAUCUUUCGGGGAGUUCCCUUUCGUUUUCGUUUCCCCCUUCUCUACAGAUCUUUGUUUUUCGGUUUGGUCGACCAGCCACGAUUGAUUCCUCGGGGUGUUUUUCUUUUCUUUUCUUUUUUUUUUCAAAAAGGGUGUAUGUUUCCCCCCCGGCAAAACAAAAAAAAGGAACGGCACAAAAACCGGAACCAAAAUGGAGGCUGGGCAUGUUUUUCUAUUCUUUCUUUAUUUUUUCUUUCCUUUUCUUUUCUUUCCCCAUUUUUUUUCUUCUUUCUUUUUAAUACGCUUUAGGGGCCCAUGAAAAGAGAUAGUUGUGGAGGGUUUUGGGGGUCGGGUCGGGAUAUCGAACGCUCUAUCUAUCGGUUCUAUCCAUCUAUCAGCAUUUCCUGGAAAUCGAAGGAAUAAUAAAUCUGUCAGUUAGCUAGCUACCUUGCCCAUGCUUAUGUUUGGGGAAAUGUGUUUUCCAAAAAUAAAUAAAUAAAUAAAUACCUUAAAUCCGUGGGGUUAUUGUAUUGAAACUUACUGCUUCUGGUCCGUCCGCGCCUGCACCGUUCCUGUUUAUUUAGGUACAGUACAACAUCAACAUGCACAGCAUACACACGCCGUCGCCCCUUCCUCUAAUCAUGUCCACGUCCACACUCCUGCUUUGCACCUUCCUCGCGAAGACGCGCAACAUAACAUCCCCGAAAACCAAGAACCAAAAAGAAGAAGAAGAAAAAAAAAAAGGGUUCCCGAAAUGAUCCCUCCCUCCUGCAACCCUCACGCUCGUUUAACUACAUACAUACAACCGCUUCAAUAUCUCUACAUCCUAUAUCUAAUCUAUCCCAUUGUCAGGACCCUCUCCCCCACCUUACAACCCCAA